RNAcentral lists this ribosomal RNA (732 nucleotides) under Stenotrophomonas maltophilia. RNAcentral describes it as "bacterial SSU rRNA". It matches the Rfam family "Bacterial small subunit ribosomal RNA", at positions 58 to 776 of the family's 1533-position model. The record is from RNAcentral. Lineage: Bacteria; Pseudomonadati; Pseudomonadota; Gammaproteobacteria; Lysobacterales; Lysobacteraceae.
CACGUCGAACUGCAGCACAAGAGAGCUUGUCGUCUGGUGGCGAGUGGCGAACGGGUGAGGAAUACAUCGGAAUCUACUCUGUCGUGGGGGAUAACGUAGCGAAACUUACAGCUAAUACCGCAUACGACCUACGGGUGAAAGCAGGGGACUCUCAGAGACCUUGCGCGAUUGAAUGCAGCCGAUGUCGGAUUAGCUAGUUGGUGGGGUAACGGCCUCACCAAGGCGACGAUCCGUAGCUGGUCUGAGAGGAUGAUCAGCCACACUGGAACUGAGACACGGUCCAGACUCCUACGGGAGGCAGCAGUGGGGAAUAUUGGACAAUGGGCGCAAGCCUGAUCCAGCCAUACCGCGUGGGUGAAGAAGGCCUUCGGGUUGUAAAGCCCUUUUGUCGGGAAAGAAAUCCAGCUGGCUAAUACCCGGUUGGGAUGACGGUACCCAAAGAAUAAGCACCGGCUAACUUCGUGCCAGCAGCCGCGGUAAUACGAAGGGUGCAAGCGUUACUCGGAAUUACUGGGCGUAAAGCGUGCGCAGGUGGUUGUUUAAGUCCGUUGUGAAAUCCCUGGGCUCAACCUGGGAACUGCAGUGGAUACUGGCCGACUAGAGUGUGGUAGAGGGUAGCGGAAUUCCUGGUGUAGCAGUGAAAUGCGUAGAGAUCAGGAGGAACAUCCAUGGCGAAGGCAGCUACCUGGACCAACACUGACACUGAGGCACGAAAGCGUGGGAGCAAACAGA